GGCGACGAUGCCUAGGGGUUCUGAGAGGAAGGUCCCCCACACUGGUACUGAGACACGGACCAGACUCCUACGGGAGGCAGCAGUGAGGAAUAUUGGUCAAUGGGCGAGAGCCUGAACCAGCCAAGUCGCGUGAGGGACGACGGCCCUACGGGUUGUAAACCUCUUUUGCCGGGGGACAAACGGCGGCACGCGUGCCGUCCUGAGGGUACCCGGAGAAAAAGCAUCGGCUAACUCCGUGCCAGCAGCCGCGGUAAUACGGAGGAUGCGAGCGUUAUCCGGAUUUAUUGGGUUUAAAGGGUGCGUAGGCGGGAUGCCAAGUCAGCGGUCAAAUACGGGGGCUCAACCUGCGUCCGCCGUUGAAACUGGCGUUCUUGAGUGGGCGAGAAGUACGCGGAAUGCGUGGUGUAGCGGUGAAAUGCAUAGAUAUCACGCAGAACCCCGAUUGCGAAGGCAGCGUACCGGCGCCCAACUGACGCUGAAGCACGAAAGCGUGGGUAUCGAACAGGAUUAGAUACCCUGGUAGUCCACGCAGUAAACGAUGAACACUAAUUGUCCGG
Molecule: ribosomal RNA, 557 nt
Filed under: uncultured bacterium
Lineage: Bacteria
Description: bacterial SSU rRNA
Rfam family: Bacterial small subunit ribosomal RNA
Source: RNAcentral